GACGCCAAAGCACCACUCUCCCGCCGUCCCCCUCACUCUCCGCCGCCGGCGAGGUGUGAUGCCACGAAGGUCGGCGGAGGCGCCGGCCAUUUGAUGCGCCCACGGCCGCCUCCUCACGGUGCGCUGUCCAAGCACCACCUCCUCCGCAUCCGCCGCUGCCUUCCACCCGUUUGGUUUAAUGCUGCCCUCGCCCAGGACCCGUCCCUGCCACCCGCUGCCUCCUCCUCCCCCGCGUUUCUCUCAUCCCUCAUACGCUACUGCACGACCAAGCGCGCCCGCCGCCCCGGUGAGCAGGCGCACGCGCGCGCCGUCGCGCUCGGGCUCGGCGCGCACCCCUCGGUGCUCCCCGGGCUCGCCUCCUUCUACAUCGCGCUCGGCGACCUCCCCGCCGCGCAAGCCUCCGUCGAGCGGGCGGCGGGAAAGGCGCGGGCGUUCCCGUGGAACCUGCUCAUUUGGGGGUAUGCCGACCGUGGGCUAUGGGACGACGUCAUCCUCGCGUAUCAGAAGAUGCUGGCGCUGGGCGUGGCCGCCGACAGGUUCACGUACCCGUCGGUUCUGCGCACAUGCGGCGAGCUCCGAGAUUCCGCCAUUGGUCGGGGGAUUGAGAAGCGCAUUCUGACGUGGAGGUAUGGUCUGGACAUGUAUGUCUGGAACGCUCUGGUGGGAAUGUACGCCAAGUGCGGGGAGAUGAAGGACGCGCGCAGGGUGUUUGAUGGAAUGCCUGCGCGGGAUGUUGUCAGCUGGAACUCCAUGGUGUCUGGGUACGUGUCGGCGGGUAUGUGGGGCGAGGCGUUUGACCUGCUGCAGUUGGUUCCUGGGGCGAACAUUGUCGCCUGGAACGCGGUUGUGGCAGGAAAUUUUAAGGCGGGGAACUACGGUGAGGUGAUGAGGUUGGUGUCGCAGAUGAGGACAUGCGGUGGUCCGGGGCUGGAUUUUGUGACUGUUGUGAUUGGCUUGAGGGCUUGCGCUAGGGGUGGGUAUCUGAGGAUUGGCAAGGAAUUGCAUGCUGCCUCUGUUCGUCUAUGCUUUGAUAGGCUUGAGCGCGUGGAGAGUUCAUUGAUCACCAUGUACUCCAGAUGCCAGAUGAUGAGAUCUGCAUACCUCCUGUUCAGAACAUGCUCAACUCAGAGCAUAGUAACAUGGAAUUCAUUGCUAGCAGGAUUUGGAUUCAUGGACCAGGUUGAGGAGGCUAUUUUCGUUUUCAGAGAGAUGAUUUAUUCCUCUGUCUUUCCAAAUGAUGUCACUGUGUUAACUAUGCUUUCACUUAGUGCACGUUUUGGACACCUCUGUCAUGGAAGGGAGAUGCACUGCUACAUUUUCAAGCAUGGACUUGGGGCCUCUAACAUAUUGCAGAACUCACUUGUCGAUAUGUACUCAAAGUCUGGACAGAUGGCAACUGCCAAUAGAGUGUUUGACCAGAUGCAAUGUCAGGACAGGCAUGCCUAUACUUCAUUGAUUUUGGGCUAUGGAAUGCAAAGAGAAGGGCAUCUAUCACUGAAGCUCUUUGAUGAAAUGAUUGUAAACAAUAUCAAGGUGGACCAUGUAACUAUGGUUGCUGUUCUUUCAGCUUGCAGCCACUCUGGGCUGGUAGCUCAAGGGCAACUACGAUUUGCUCAGAUGUAUGAUGUGUUUUGCAUUGCACCGAGGGUGGAGCAUUUUUCUUGCAUGGUUGAUUUGUACUGCCGUGAGGGUUUGCUGAGUAUGGCUGAGGAGAUAGUUAACAAGAUGCCAUUCCAGCCAACUGCCGCGAUGUUGGCAACUCUAAUCGAGGCUUGCCGGAUCCAUGGCAAAACAGAAAUUGGGGAUCGGGCUGCAAAGAGGCUGUUGGCAAUGAGGACAAAUAACCCGGGUCACUACAAAUUGAUUGCGAACAUGUAUAUAUCAGCAAAACGCUGGCCAGAACUAGCUAAAGUUAGGUCAUUAAUGAGCGUCAUGGAACUAAAUAUGAUUCCAACUCAUUCCUUACUGGAGUCAGAAUAUGAGAUAUGUCCAAUUGAAAAAGAUUAUUGCUUAAACCGAUGUCUGCAUGGAGGCUUGUCUGACGACAUGACAGAUACUGAUUUCUCUAGUAGUGAGGAAGUGAAAUGGAAUGAAGCUUUCGGUGGGUAACAGUAAAGCUGGAAUCCAAUAGGCUGUUUUGGGAUCAUGGCUUUCAUUUAAGGAAAAUAUGUUAACAACUUGUAUUCUUUGCAUCAUGGAAGAGAGGAGUUUUUAAAAAAGGAUUAACUGAGGACCUUGCAUCGCACUUCCAGUCAGUGUUUUUAAGGCGUCGCUUAGGCGGCCAGACGCUUGAAGAAUUAUGCUCGCCUAGGCGUCCAGGUGGCAGUCCAACGCCUCGCCUCGCCUUACCGCCUUAAGAACACUGCUUCCAGUAUUGCCUUCAAGCACGAUCACAAACAAUUUGGCAUGAAAACUAUCAGGCCAUACUUUGCAUACCACUACCAGAGGAUCAGAUACGGUAACAAGGAAGCGUUGUGUUGGGCACACUUAUGUGGGCGUCUCAGAUUAUAAGCUGGUUACUCAGCAGUGUGGAGUGGCAACUGGCAACCAUAAUCCAUAAUGACAAAAAUGGAAGGCUCCACUUGGCAGUGUCCAAAUCAUGUCUACGCGUUUGGUCCAGCCAGAGUCAGGAAGCUCACUGGACAUGGUGCCGUCAGAGCCAGAGAUCGUUCACCUGACUCCAUGGCUCCUGAGGUCACUAUCAGUCGUGUUGUCCUUCCUGCUGAACAGGCUGCUGAAUGUGGAAGCACUCAUGGGCUCCAUCCCUGUGCUGGCCAUGUAGGUUAGCGAGCUCGCAGAUGUCAUCUUCACUGCCAUGCUGUUGCUGCUAAACUAUGGCCUCGCAUAUGGAGCCGCAUUCUGGCUCUUCUUAAACACCUGGUCAGAUAUAAACCAUCGCAGCAGCAGCGAUGGAGGUGGAGGGUACACGCUCUCCACACCGCCGCCGCCUGCCAGUGCUGGACAGAUGGUUCCUCGACACCUGCCCUGUGGCAAUCCAUCUACCCUUUGGCAAGCUGAAGGACAUCGUCGUCCAGUGACCCGAACACGCGCGGUCCAGAAAUGUUUCUUCCAUUUCUCUGCGGAGAGCACAAAGAGGCUCAAGACGAAGGCAAACACCGGGAACUGCAACGGUCAUCAUCUCCUCAUUGAAGUCCCUGCUCUCUCACCUUGAGCGAGCAGUGUGCCACCGUCUGCAUACUUUGUUGAAGGAACUCUAUUUUUCUUUUGUGCUGUUAUAUACCAAGUCAGCUUGCCCCCCCAAAAGAAUUCCUCGGAAGAGAGACGUCAUUCACAAACUGCGGCACAAGUUCAUCUGUGUUGCGUCUGACCUACCUGAUCAAAGACGUUUUGGUGACAAUUGUGCAAAACAUUUGGGAUGAUUACUCAUGCUCGUUUCGCAGGUGGGAAUGCUUAAUUGGCGACAAGUUUUAUCUAUCUAGAGAGAUUGCUUUUGUUUUCAGACCGUGAUAGAUUAGCCAACGCCAUCAAAGGAAAUAAUUGAAGCAUGGCUGUGAACCUGGAAAUCACACUCUGAAGUCUGAACACAAUGUAAACAUUCAGAAUUAGCACAUUGGUCGUGUAGCUCAUUGUACAUAAGCUUUAUUUAUGCUCCAGGAGUUGUUACUGUAGUUACAGUGUCCCACCAAAUCAAGAAGGAUAAAAAAUUUAACGUGUGGGAAAACAGAACCGGCCCAGGAGAAGGCCCGUGCGGGUGCACUCUCGCUGCGCCCAACAACACUGACUGGGCCGGCCGUCGAUGCACUGCAUUCCCCCCCUUCCGUCCGCUGCAUCCCUCCGCCGCCACCGCCGCCCAAGCCAGGUGCUGAGGCUUUCGUUGGUCUCUUCGCCGGCGACGAGCACCCACCAGGGCACGGGCCUCAGGAUGCAGUCCUUGGUCCGGAAUGUCUGCCGAGCCGGAAGCCGUGGAGCGGCGGCGAGGCUCCUGGAGGCCGCCGCGGUUCAUCCGGGGGCGGCGCAGCCGUCCUCGGCCGUCAGACACCUCAGGCAUCCUUGCGGGUUCGCUCGUCCGAUCGGGGUAGAUCAACCCAAGCCUGUGCAGCGCCGGACCAUUUUGCGUGAUGGCGGCCGCGUUCCGGCUGCCGCCUCCGGAUUCGGUCUCUGCGCGAAAGUUCUCGUUGCGACGAGGGGUCUGUCGACGGCGGGAAAUGCUGCUGAGGUUGCCUCUGAUUCGGACGAUUCCACCUCUCCUGCGGUUGAGCACCCCCCGCGCAUCAAGUUCAAGAGGCCUGACAAGACCGCUAGACACAUUAUGAAUAUCCUGAACAAAGAGGCGGUCGAAAAGGUCCGCUCGGAGAGGGCGAUUCCUGAUGUGCAGCCUGGAUGUAUCAUUCAGAUGAGAUUGCAAGUUCCUGAGAACAAACGGCGCGAGUCGACACUGAAAGGGAUUGUCAUAGGAAGGCGCAACGCUGGGAUCAAUACAACCUUCAGAUUGCGUAGAUUAGUGGCUGGCGUGGGAGUCGAGUCUGUCUUUCCACUUUACUCACCAAACAUCAAAGAAAUCAAGGUCUUGGACAGGAAGAAAGUCAGGAGAGCUAAGCUGUAUUACCUGAGGGACAGGAUGAACGCACUUAAAAGAUGAGGAUUUCAACUUGUUUCUAGGAUUUCUUUUUGCCGCGCGGAUCAGCAUGGUUUCUCAAGAUGCAAUCACAUUGUUUGGUGUUCCAUCUUUGAAAAAAAUCAUAGUUUGGGGUUGUCAGUUGCCAUGCUCCGAUCUUCUUUCUUUUGAUUUGAUGCGCUGUAACAUUAGUGCGAAAAUUCAUGUGCUCAGGUCUAUUACGUUACUUUCCCAAUCUUUUUUUAGUAUGUGCGUCUGACAUGAACAAGCUGGAACACUUUACUCAUCAAAGCGAAACUAUUGUAUGAUGAUUCAUG
Molecule: RNA transcript, 4893 nt
Organism: Zea mays
Lineage: Eukaryota; Viridiplantae; Streptophyta; Magnoliopsida; Poales; Poaceae
Gene name: Pentatricopeptide repeat-containing protein pseudogene
Exons: 8
Source: RefSeq, marked validated